This 694-nucleotide small RNA is filed under the name Mus caroli (Ryukyu mouse). RNAcentral describes it as "sRNA (MGP_CAROLIEiJ_G0013763.1)". Lineage: Eukaryota; Metazoa; Chordata; Mammalia; Rodentia; Muridae. The record is from RNAcentral.
CCCGCGAGAUCAGCGUCCAGCUCGGACAAGGUCCACCCCAGCAGAUUCUGGGCUGCAACCCCGGGUCUCUUACCGUCACCAGCACACAGUGCAGGUCCGGGGUCUGCGCGGCGCCCCCGCUCUCCGCCGGGCCCGCGUCGUUCUCCAGUAGCAACAGCUCAGCCAGCCGACCCGGGUUGCUGACUCGCAGGAUGUUGAUGUCGUUCUCGCAGCAGAACGCACGGAUGAGGGUGAAAUGGAUCUGCAGAGCCACAUCCCGGUCGUCGUCUUCGUCCGCAGCCAGCAGGCACAGUACCACGUUAUCGGGGUCUCUGCGGGCAGCGGGGCAGCGGUAACUGACUUGUCUGCACUCAAAACUCAGAACCUGUCUUUCCCAGAGUAUGACGUCACUCAUCUCUACCCACCUGCUUCCCUCCAGGAAUAGGUGUGCUUGGCUUAGUGCUUGGCUUAUUGAUGACCAAUGAUGUGGUCAGAGGCUACGCUCAGUGGUUUAAGCCACAGAGCUUUGUUCUCUGCUGAGUAUGUGGGUUGGGGUACAUUAAAAGGCACAGAAUUUUUCAAGCAUAGCAACUGUAAUGACUGAAGUUAAAUAAACUUCACCAAGUGUCAAAAAGGGUUUGCAGUAACUGGAAGUUUCAUGUAUUAGUGAGGGAGAUAAACAAACAAAACAAUAACAAUAAAAACAGUUCAGCCA